This 215-nucleotide long non-coding RNA is filed under the name Lathyrus oleraceus (garden pea). Its description in RNAcentral is "Pisum sativum (pea) long non-coding RNA (PSAT_LNC028915)". The record is from RNAcentral. Lineage: Eukaryota; Viridiplantae; Streptophyta; Magnoliopsida; Fabales; Fabaceae.
AAAAUGAGUGACUUAUGAUUUUUCUAAGAUGCCAUGCCAAAAUGAAUUAAAUAUUGGAAAAGAAAUUGAAUUAAUGAAAUAAUUAAACUGGCGGUGGCAAACUUGUAAAUAACUUGAACUUUUGACACGCACGCCCUUAACCCUAACCCCAUGCAGCCAUAAUCCGCAGGUAAUGCCCAGGAUCCGCAGGAAAAUGCGCAGCUAACACUAUGAAU